CUGCUGCCUUCCGUAGGAGUUUGGGCCGUGUCUCAGUCCCAAUGUGGCCGUCCACCCUCUCAGGCCGGCUACUGAUCGCUGCCUUGGUGGGCCGUUACCCCGCCAACUAGCUAAUCAGACGCGGAUCCAUCGUGUACCACCGGAGUUUUUCACACUGCCCCAUGCGGAGCCGUGCGCUUAUGCGGUAUUAGCACCUAUUUCUAAGUGUUAUCCCCCGGUAUACGGCAGGUUAUCCACGCGUUACUCACCCGUCCGCCA
Molecule: ribosomal RNA, 258 nt
Filed under: uncultured bacterium
Lineage: Bacteria
Description: partial 16S ribosomal RNA
Source: RNAcentral